UUCGUAGGCGGCAUGUCAAGUCUGGUGUUAAAGCCCGGAGCUCAACUCCGGUUCGGCAUUGGAUACUGGCAAGCUUGAGUGCAGAAGAGGCAAAGGGAAUUCCCAGUGUAGCGGUGAAAUGCGUAGAUAUUGGGAGGAACACCGGUGGCGUAAGCGCUUUGCUGGUCUGUAACUGACGCUGAGGAACGAAAGCCAGGGGAGCAAAUGGGAUUAGAUACCCCAGUAGUCCUGGCCGUAAACGAUGGAUACUAGGUGUUGCAGGUAUCGACCCUUGCAGUGCUGCAGCUAACGCAAUAAGUAUCCCGCUGGGGAGUACGCACGCAAGUGUGA
Molecule: ribosomal RNA, 330 nt
Filed under: uncultured bacterium
Lineage: Bacteria
Description: bacterial SSU rRNA
Rfam family: Bacterial small subunit ribosomal RNA
Source: RNAcentral